RNAcentral lists this ribosomal RNA (273 nucleotides) under uncultured bacterium. RNAcentral describes it as "partial 16S ribosomal RNA". It matches the Rfam family "Bacterial small subunit ribosomal RNA", at positions 524 to 796 of the family's 1533-position model. The record is from RNAcentral.
UACAGAGGGCUCAAGCGUUAAUCGGAAUCACUGGGCUUAAAGGGUCCGCAGGCGGAUUGGAAAGUAUCUUGUGAAAUACCACGGCUCAACCGUGGAACUGCUCGGUAAACUUCAAUCUUGAACACGGUAGGGGCCAUCGGAACUCUAGGUGGAGCGGUGAAAUGCGUAGAUAUCUAGAGGAACGCCAGAGGCGAAGGCGGAUGGCUGGGCCGUUGCUGACGCUCAGGGAGCGAAAAGCAUGGGAGCGAACGGGAUUAGAUACCCCGGUAGUCC